AUUCCGGUUGAUCCUGCCGGACCCGACUGCUAUUUGGGUGAGGAUAGCCAUGCAAGUCGAAUGGGAUACCUAAAUUUCCCAUGGCAAACUGCUCAGUAACACAUGAUCAACUUACCCUAUAGAGAAAAAUAACCUCGGGAAACUGAGGAUAAGGUUUCAUAGUUGAAUAGGCUUGGAAAAGUUAUUCAAUAAAAGGGAUAAAAAAAAUGGUUUUUAUCUGCUAUAGGAUAGGAUCGUGGACGAUUAUGGUUGUUGGUGAGGUAACGGCUCACCAAGCCGAUAAUCGAUAGGGGCCGUGAGAGCGGGAGCCCCGAGAUGGGUACUGAGACAACGACCCAGGCCUUACGAGGCGCAGCAGGCGCGGAACCUCCGCAAUACACGAAAGUGUGACGGGGUUACCCAAAGUGUUCAAUUUUGAACUGUGGUAGGUGAGUAAUGUUCCCUGCUAGAAAGGAGAGGGCAAGGCUGGUGCCAGCCGCCGCGGUAAAACCAGCUCUUCAAGUGGUCGGGAUAAUUAUUGGGCUUAAAGUGUCCGUAGCCGGUUUAGUAAGUUCCUGGUAAAAUCGGGUAGCUUAACUAUCUGUAUGCUAGGAAUACUGCUAUACUAGAGGGCGGGAGAAGUCUGAGGUACUACAGGGGUAGGGGUGAAAUCUUAUAAUCCUUGUAGGACCACCAGUGGCGAAGGCGUCAGACUGGAACGCGCCUGACGGUGAGGGACGAAAGCCAGGGGAGCGAACCGGAUUAGAUACCCGGGUAGUCCUGGCCGUAAACGAUGCAUACUAGGUGAUGGCACGGCCAUGAGCCAUGUCAGUGCCGUAGGGAAACCGUUAAGUGUGCCGCCUGGGAAGUACGGUCGCAAGGCUAAAACUUAAAGGAAUUGGCGGGGGAGCAC
RNAcentral lists this ribosomal RNA (892 nucleotides) under uncultured archaeon. Its description in RNAcentral is "bacterial SSU rRNA". It matches the Rfam family "Archaeal small subunit ribosomal RNA", at positions 1 to 879 of the family's 1478-position model. The record is from RNAcentral.